Molecule: ribosomal RNA, 594 nt
Filed under: uncultured bacterium
Lineage: Bacteria
Description: bacterial SSU rRNA
Rfam family: Bacterial small subunit ribosomal RNA
Source: RNAcentral
CCUACGGGAGGCAGCAGUGGGGAAUUUUCCGCAAUGGGCGCAAGCCUGACGGAGCAAGACCGCGUGAGGGAGGAAGGCUCUUGGGUUGUAAACCUCUUUUAUCAGGGAAGAAGAUCUGACGGUACCUGAUGAAUCAGCAUCGGCUAACUCCGUGCCAGCAGCCGCGGUAAUACGGAGGAUGCAAGCGUUAUCCGGAUUUAUUGGGCGUAAAGCGUCCGCAGGUGGUUAUUCAAGUCUGCUGUUAAAGCGCGAGGCUUAACUUCGUACAGGCAGUGGAAACUGGAUGACUGGAGUAUGGUAGGGGUAGCGGGAAUUCCCAGUGUAGCGGUGAAAUGCGUAGAUAUUGGGAAGAACACCAGCGGCGAAAGCGCGCUACUGGGCCAUUACUGACACUCAUGGACGAAAGCUAGGGGAGCGAAAGGGAUUAGAUACCCCUGUAGUCCUAGCUGUAAACGAUGGGUACUAGGUGUUGACCGUAUCGACCCGGUCAGUGCCGUAGCUAACGCGUUAAGUACCCCGCCUGGGAGUAUGCACGCAAGUGUGAAACUCAAAGGGAAUUGACGGCUUGAGCGNGCGAGNGCGACGAGGGAGAGG